Molecule: transfer RNA, 24 nt
Filed under: Drosophila pseudoobscura
Lineage: Eukaryota; Metazoa; Arthropoda; Insecta; Diptera; Drosophilidae
Description: partial tRNA-Leu
Source: RNAcentral
AAGUAUUUUACUUUUAUUAGAAAA